This 460-nucleotide ribosomal RNA is filed under the name uncultured bacterium. Its description in RNAcentral is "partial 16S ribosomal RNA". It matches the Rfam family "Bacterial small subunit ribosomal RNA", at positions 338 to 795 of the family's 1533-position model. The record is from RNAcentral.
ACUACGGGAGGCAGCAGUGAGGAAUAUUGGUCAAUGGGCGAGAGCCUGAACCAGCCAAGUCGCGUGAGGGAAGACGGUCCUACGGAUUGUAAACCUCUUUUGUCAGGGAGCAAGGAGCGCCACGAGUGGUGCGGCGAGAGUACCUGAAGAAAAAGCAUCUGCUAACUCCGUGCCAGCAGCCGCGGUAAUAAGGAGGAUGCGAGCGUUAGCCGGAUUUAUUGGGGUUAAAGGGUGCGCAGGCGGAAGCGGCAAGUCAGCGGUACAAUUGCGGGGCUCAACCUCGUCGAGCCGUUGAAACUGCUCUUCGAGAGUGGGCGAGAAGUAUGCGGAAUGCGGGGGGUAGCGGUGAAAUGCAUAGAUAUCACGCAGAACUCCGAUUGCGAAGGCAGCAUACCGGCGCCCAACUGACACUCAUGCACGAAAGCGUGGGUAUCGAACAGGAUUAGAUACCCCAGUAGUC